CUUACCCAGACUCAUUAUAAAAGGACCCAUGUUCCUUUGUCUAUCACUCACAUUCCAUUGCAAACAGAUCGUUUGGCUUUUAACGUUACUUGAUAGAAGAAAAAAAUCAUGAAUAUGAUACUUUUAAUAUCAGCUAUUCUAUUAGCAUGUUGCGUGUCAACUAAUGCCCGAUAUAACGACCAAUUUCGAGCAGGUGCUAAUAUAAACAAUGGCGUUCCGAGUCUGUCCGGAUCUUGGACAAGGACGGGAAGUAAUUGGGAAACAUCAGUUCAUGGAAGUGUAAGUGGAAAUGGAAACUGGGGCGUCGGAGUCUCUGUAGGGUGGCGUUUCAAAAGGGGUGUUGGUUCGG
This is a long non-coding RNA of Ruditapes philippinarum (Manila clam), 349 nucleotides long. RefSeq lists it as uncharacterized. The record is from RefSeq and is a predicted model, not a curated record. Lineage: Eukaryota; Metazoa; Mollusca; Bivalvia; Venerida; Veneridae. The transcript has 2 exons.